AGAGUUUGAUCCUGGCUCAGAUUGAACGCUGGCGGCAUGCCUUACACAUGCAAGUCGAACGGCAGCACGAGAGCUUGCUCUUGGUGGCGAGUGGCGAACGGGUGAGUAAUAUAUCGGAACGUACCCUAGAGUGGGGGAUAACGUAGCGAAAGUUACGCUAAUACCGCAUACGAUCUACGGAUGAAAGUGGGGGAUCGCAAGACCUCAUGCUCAUGGAGCGGCCGAUAUCUGAUUAGCUAGUUGGUGGGGUAAAAGCUCACCAAGGCGACGAUCAGUAGCUGGUCUGAGAGGACGACCAGCCACACUGGAACUGAGACACGGUCCAGACUCCUACGGGAGGCAGCAGUGGGGAAUUUUGGACAAUGGGCGCAAGCCUGAUCCAGCAAUGCCGCGUGAGUGAAGAAGGCCUUCGGGUUGUAAAGCUCUUUUGUCAGGGAAGAAACGGUGGACUCUAAUACAGAUCACUAAUGACGGUACCUGAAGAAUAAGCACCGGCUAACUACGUGCCAGCAGCCGCGGUAAUACGUAGGGUGCAAGCGUUAAUCGGAAUUACUGGGCGUAAAGCGUGCGCAGGCGGUUGUGCAAGACAGAUGUGAAAUCCCCGGGCUCAACCUGGGAAUUGCAUUUGUGACUGCACGGCUAGAGUGUGUCAGAGGGGGGUAGAAUUCCACGUGUAGCAGUGAAAUGCGUAGAGAUGUGGAGGAAUACCGAUGGCGAAGGCAGCCCCCUGGGAUAACACUGACGCUCAUGCACGAAAGCGUGGGGAGCAAACAGGAUUAGAUACCCUGGUAGUCCACGCCCUAAACGAUGUCUACUAGUUGUCGGGUCUUAAUUGACUUGGUAACGCAGCUAACGCGUGAAGUAGACCGCCUGGGGAGUACGGUCGCAAGAUUAAAACUCAAAGGAAUUGACGGGGACCCGCACAAGCGGUGGAUGAUGUGGAUUAAUUUGAUGCAACGCGAAAAACCUUACCUACCCUUGACAUGUCUGGAAUCCUUGAGAGAUCAGGGAGUGCUCGAAAGAGAAUCAGAACACAGGUGCUGCAUGGCUGUCGUCAGCUCGUGUCGUGAGAUGUUGGGUUAAGUCCCGCAACGAGCGCAACCCUUGUCAUUAGUUGCUACGAAAGGGCACUCUAAUGAGACUGCCGGUGACAAACCGGAGGAAGGUGGGGAUGACGUCAAGUCCUCAUGGCCCUUAUGGGUAGGGCUUCACACGUCAUACAAUGAUACAUACAGAGGGCCGCCAACCCGCGAGGGGGAGCUAAUCCCAGAAAGUGUAUCGUAGUCCGGAUUGUAGUCUGCAACUCGACUACAUGAAGUUGGAAUCGCUAGUAAUCGCGGAUCAGCAUGUCGCGGUGAAUACGUUCCCGGGUCUUGUACACACCGCCCGUCACACCAUGGGAGCGGGUUUCACCAGAAGUGGGUAGCCUAACCGCAAGGAGGGCGCUCACCACGGUGGGAUUCGUGACUGGGGUGAAGUCGUAACAAGGUA
RNAcentral lists this ribosomal RNA (1491 nucleotides) under metagenome. RNAcentral's name for it is "bacterial SSU rRNA". It matches the Rfam family "Bacterial small subunit ribosomal RNA". The record is from RNAcentral.